RNAcentral lists this ribosomal RNA (467 nucleotides) under uncultured bacterium. Its description in RNAcentral is "partial 16S ribosomal RNA". It matches the Rfam family "Bacterial small subunit ribosomal RNA", at positions 28 to 506 of the family's 1533-position model. The record is from RNAcentral.
GACGAACGCUGGCGGCGUGCUUAACACAUGCAAGUCGAACGGAAAGGCCCUGCUUUUGUGGGGUGCUCGAGUGGCGAACGGGUGAGUAACACGUGAGUAACCUGCCCUUGACUUUGGGAUAACUUCAUGAAACUGGGGCUAAUACCGGAUAGGAGCUCCUGCUGCAUGGUGGGGGUUGGAAAGUUUCGGCGGUUGGGGAUGGACUCGCGGCUUAUCAGCUUGUUGGUGGGGUAGUGGCUUACCAAGGCUUUGACGGGUAGCCGGCCUGAGAGGGUGACCGGCCACAUUGGGACUGAGAUACGGCCCAGACUCCUACGGGAGGCAGCAGUGGGGAAUAUUGCACAAUGGGCGGAAGCCUGAUGCAGCAACGCCGCGUGCGGGAUGACGGCCUUCGGGUUGUAAACCGCUUUCGCCUGUGACGAAGCGUGAGUGACGGUAAUGGGUAAAGAAGCACCGGCUAACUACGU